RNAcentral lists this long non-coding RNA (206 nucleotides) under Carica papaya (papaya). RNAcentral describes it as "long non-coding RNA (CPAP_LNC008982)". Lineage: Eukaryota; Viridiplantae; Streptophyta; Magnoliopsida; Brassicales; Caricaceae. The record is from RNAcentral.
GGGGUUGACAAGGGUUGAGUUGGCUCUAUCAUACAGCUGCGGUCAAUCAUUGGAUAGCUCGGAAGAGUUCAGUAAACUAGGCCCUAGUUGGAUGGUCCUGGGCCAUUGGUUUUUCGAUACAUUUUACGGAAGGUCUCUCUCGUGUCAUUCCUACAAAAGAAAGAAAGACACGAGUUUUUACGGAAGGUCUCUCUCGUGUCAUUCCU